GGGGGUGCAAAGGUUUCGACGAGGAUUGGAAGCGCUGGUUGCAUGCCGGAGUGGGCUGGCUCCGUUACUAAGCCCAACACAUACAAACGCCGAUACUGACGUUCGUUACGCAUUAGCAGCUUAAUUGCUGCUACGUCUCUUGAUUCAUCGCCCGUGUGGGACUAGAGACGUUAUUUAGCGGGAUAGCCUUUGCGAGUGUCCGUGGCGCCGAGGCGAAAUUUAGCGGACUCCCCCGUAAGAGAUCCUGUUCGUGGGAGCUUCUCCGGGUUAAGCAAAACACGAACUAUGCAUGUAGACGCCUGAUGUGAAAGAUUUUCGGACGGGGGUUCGAUUCCCCCCACCUCCACCA
Molecule: transfer-messenger RNA, 349 nt
Filed under: Desulfuromonadales
Lineage: Bacteria; Pseudomonadati; Thermodesulfobacteriota; Desulfuromonadia
Also listed under: 2 other names
Description: M0040 sp014860225 Standard tmRNA
Rfam family: transfer-messenger RNA
About the family: Bacterial tmRNA, also known as 10Sa RNA or SsrA, is named for its dual tRNA and mRNA-like properties. Its role is to liberate the mRNA from a stalled ribosome.
Source: RNAcentral